ACACAUGCAAGUCGAACGAUUGAAGCUGGAGCUUGCUCCGGCCGAUUUAGUGGCGGACGGGUGAGUAACGCGUGGGUAACCUGCCUCAUACAGGGGGAUAGCAGUUGGAAACGACUGGUAAAACCGCAUAAGCGCACGGUAUCGCAUGAUACAGUGUGAAAACACUCCGGUGGUAUGAGAUGGACCCGCGUCUGAUUAGCUAGUUGGUGAGGUAACGGCCCACCAAGGCGACGAUCAGUAGCCGGCCUGAGAGGGUGAACGGCCACAUUGGGACUGAGACACGGCCCAAACUCCUACGGGAGGCAGCAGUGGGGAAUAUUGCACAAUGGGGGAAACCCUGAUGCAGCGACGCCGCGUGAGUGAUGAAGUAUUUCGGUAUGUAAAGCUCUAUCAGCAGGGAAGAUAAUGACGGUACCUGGCUAAGAAGCACCGGCUAAAUACGUGCCAGCAGCCGCGGUAAUACGUAUGGUGCAAGCGUUAUCCGGAUUUACUGGGUGUAAAGGGUGCGUAGGUGGCAAGGCAAGUCUGAAGUGAAAAUCCGGGGCUCAACCCCGGAACUGCUUUGGAAACUGUUUAGCUGGAGUACAGGAGAGGUAAGUGGAAUUCCUAGUGUAGCGGUGAAAUGCGUAGAUAUUAGGAGGAACACCAGUGGCGAAGGCGACUUACUGGACUGCUACUGACACUGAGGCACGAAAGCGUGGGGAGCAAACAGGAUUAGAUACCCUGGUAGUCCAUGCCGUAAACGAUGAAUACUAGGUGUUGGGUUCCAAAGGAACUCGGUGCCGUCGCAAACGCAUUAAGUAUUCCACCUGGGGAGUACGCUCGCA
Molecule: ribosomal RNA, 827 nt
Filed under: uncultured bacterium
Lineage: Bacteria
Description: bacterial SSU rRNA
Rfam family: Bacterial small subunit ribosomal RNA
Source: RNAcentral